Non-coding RNA from Arachis ipaensis, 433 nucleotides. The record is from RefSeq and is a predicted model, not a curated record. Lineage: Eukaryota; Viridiplantae; Streptophyta; Magnoliopsida; Fabales; Fabaceae.
CGUUUUGUGCCAAACCACCACCGUCGAGAAACCCCUCUCCCUUCUCUUCUCCUUCUUCCUCUUCUUCCUCUGUCUCGCCUCCUCCUCUUCGUGAGCUCUAACAACGCUACACGCAGUUGUAACCCCACCUCCUCCUCCUCUGCGUAUUGGUUUUUCACUGCUUUUCCACUGAGAAUCGACGAGUAAGCACGCCAAAUCGCUAGAAUCGCGUCUAUGGUGGUGACUGAUAUCCAAGGUAGCAGGGUGGCGAGAAGUUGCUGUCCAUGCCCCAAUUCAAAACCAAACUCAAAUACAAGCCGCAAUCCUUUGAGAAGAAGGCUUGAACCGUAGGUUUAUGUAUGUUAAGCUUUAUUUCUCCAUUUUUUUCAGGACAAUAGGUAACUGAUUAACUGAUUAACUGGUUAUAUAGAUUUUAUAUUCCCUUGUUUGCUUU